CAUUGUUUUGAUUUAGUUUGUACUAUACAGAUUAAAAAAAUAAGGACAAUUUUUACAAAAUUAACAAUGACUAAUACGCAACGCAACCACAAACUUCAACACCACAACAAUCCAAGUACAACGAAAAUGUCAGACCACAAAUGUCAUCAGAACCUGCAGUGGUUUUUUAUUUACUCAACAGAGUUCGUAGUUCCUAACUAACAGAAAGACUUUGGGGGAAAAAAGGCGCUCCAGAUUGCCAAUCGUAAAGCGCUUAUCUAUGGUCAUCUAUGGUAAAGCGCAAAAUGGAUGGAAAAUACGAAAUGAGUGUGGUCGUUAGAAAAAAUCAAAAUGUAAUUUAUGAUAAUCAAAGAAAUGUUGAGGUAGAUGCAUCUGUAAAACAGCUAAUGCAGGAUAUCAAAAUCCUCCAGGAAGAUGUAAAUAAUUAUUUAACAGAACUGGUUGAAAAGGACAAGAAAGAAAGUAGCACCCCAGAGAGUCCCUUUACUUCAACAGAUGAUGAGGACGAUAAUGACUCUGAAGAUAUUAUAAAUUUAAAAAGAAAAAUUGUGUUACCCUCAAAAGAAAAUAAAAAGAAUAAACAAUAAUUAUAAAUGUUACAUCCUCUAAAGAACUUUGCCAACAGUAUGACUUUCAUAUUGUUCAGGGACUGGUUGGAAAUUAAACUACAUGUGAUGUAAGUAUUAAAAUUACAUAUCUAAAUCAGUAACAUAUGUGUUUAAAUUUAC
This is a long non-coding RNA of Agrilus planipennis (emerald ash borer), 728 nucleotides long. RefSeq lists it as uncharacterized. The record is from RefSeq and is a predicted model, not a curated record. Lineage: Eukaryota; Metazoa; Arthropoda; Insecta; Coleoptera; Buprestidae. The transcript is spliced from 3 exons.